UUACGGCCAUAUCACGUUGAAACAUCGGUUCCCGUACGAUCACCGAAGUUAAGAAACGUCGAAUAUGGUCAGUACCGAGAUGAGUGACCGCUUGGGAAUACCAGGUGCUGUAAG
Non-coding RNA from Acanthosepion pharaonis, 114 nucleotides. Lineage: Eukaryota; Metazoa; Mollusca; Cephalopoda; Sepiida; Sepiidae. The record is from the annotation of a GenBank genome assembly.